Molecule: ribosomal RNA, 1521 nt
Filed under: metagenome
Description: bacterial SSU rRNA
Rfam family: Bacterial small subunit ribosomal RNA
Source: RNAcentral
GAGUUUGAUCAUGGCUCAGAUUGAACGCUGGCGGCAGGCCUAACACAUGCAAGUCGAACGGUAACAGGAAACAGCUUGCUGUUUCGCUGACGAGUGGCGGACGGGUGAGUAAUGUCUGGGAAACUGCCUGAUGGAGGGGGAUAACUACUGGAAACGGUAGCUAAUACCGCAUAACGUCGCAAGACCAAAGAGGGGGACCUUCGGGCCUCUUGCCAUCAGAUGUGCCCAGAUGGGAUUAGCUAGUAGGUGGGGUAACGGCUCACCUAGGCGACGAUCCCUAGCUGGUCUGAGAGGAUGACCAGCCACACUGGAACUGAGACACGGUCCAGACUCCUGCGGGAGGCAGCAGUGGGGAAUAUUGCACAAUGGGCGCAAGCCUGAUGCAGCCAUGCCGCGUGUAUGAAGAAGGCCUUCGGGUUGUAAAGUACUUUCAGCGGGGAGGAAGGGAGUAAAGUUAAUACCUUUGCUCAUUGACGUUACCCGCAGAAGAAGCACCGGCUAACUCCGUGCCAGCAGCCGCGGUAAUACGGAGGGUGCAAGCGUCAAUCGGAAUUACUGGGCGUAAAGCGCACGCAGGCGGUUUGUUAAGUCAGAUGUGAAAUCCCCGGGCUCAACCUGGGAACUGCAUCUGAUACUGGCAAGCUUGAGUCUCGUAGAGGGGGGUAGAGUUCCAGGUGUAGCGGUGAAAUGCGUAGAGAUCUGGAGGAAUACCGGUGGCGAAGGCGGCCCCCUGGACGAAGACUGACGCUCAGGUGCGAAAGCGUGGGGAGCAAACAGGAUUAGAUACCCUGGUAGUCCACGCCGUAAACGAUGUCGACUUGGAGGUUGUGCCCUUGAGGCGUGGCUUCCGGAGCUAACGUGUUAAGUCGACCGCCUGGGGAGUACGGCCGCAAGGUUAAAACUCAAAUGAAUUGACGGGGGCCCGCACAAGCGGUGGAGCAUGUGGUUUAAUUCGAUGCAACGCGAAGAACCUUACCUGAUCUUGACAUCCACGGAAGUUUUCAGAGAUGAGAAUGUGCCUUCGGGAACCGUGAGACAGGUGCUGCAUGGCUGUCGUCAGCUCGUGUUGUGAAAUGUUGGGUUAAGUCCCGCAACGAGCGCAACCCUUAUCCUUUGUUGCCAGCGGUCCGGCCGGGAACUCAAAGGAGACUGCCAGUGAUAAACUGGAGGAAGGUGGGGAUGACGUCAAGUCAUCAUGGCCCUUACGACCAGGGCUACACACGUGCUACAAUGGCGCAUACAAAGAGAAGCGACCUCGCGAGAGCAAGCGGACCUCAUAAAGUGCGUCGUAGUCCGGAUUGGAGUCUGCAACUCGACUCCAUGAAGUCGGAAUCGCUAGUAAUCGUGGAUCAGAAUGCCACGGUGAAUACGUUCCCGGGCCUUGUACACACCGCCCGUCACACCAUGGGAGUGGGUUGCAAAAGAAGUAGGUAGCUUAACCUUCGGGAGGGCGCUUACCACUUUGUGAUUCAUGACUGGGGUGAAGUCGUAACAAGGUAACCGUAGGGGAACCUGCGGUUG